RNAcentral lists this ribosomal RNA (466 nucleotides) under uncultured bacterium. RNAcentral describes it as "partial 16S ribosomal RNA". It matches the Rfam family "Bacterial small subunit ribosomal RNA", at positions 28 to 507 of the family's 1533-position model. The record is from RNAcentral.
GAUGAACGCUGGCGGCGUGCUUAACACAUGCAAGUCGAACGAUGAAGCCCAGCUUUCUUGGUGUACUCGUGUCGAACGCGUGAGUAACACGUGAGUAACCCCCCCUUUACUCUUUGAUAUACCUUGGAAACACUGGCUAUUAUUCCAUAUAACUUCUCCUCCUACGUUGGGGGGGUUGAAAAUUUUUUGGUUUUGGAUGGACUCGCGGCUUAUCAGCUUGUUGGUGGGGUAUUGGCUCACCAAGGCGCCGACGGGUAGCCGGCCUGAGAGGGUGACCGGCCACACUGGGACUGAGAGACGGCCCAGACUCCUACGGGAGGCAGCAGUGGGGAAUAUUGCACAAUGGGCGGAAGCCUGAUGCAGCGACGCCGCGUGCGGGAUGACGGCCUUCGGGUUGUAAACCUCUUUCGGUAGGGAAGAAGCGAGAGUGACGGUAACUGCAGAAGAAGCGCCGGCUAACUACGUG